GUCUGGGGAUCCCGUUUGAUGGAGGGGGAUAACUACUGUGAAACGGUAGCUAAUACCGCAUAACGUCGCAAGACCAAAGUGGGGGACCUUCCGGCCUCAUGCCAUCAGAUGAACCCAGAUGGGAUUAGCUAGUAGGUGAGGUAAUGGCUCACCUAGGCGACGAUCCCUAGCUGGUCUGAGAGGAUGACCAGCCACACUGGAACUGAGACACGGUCCAGACUCCUACGGGAGGCAGCAGUGGGGAAUAUUGCACAAUGGGUGCAAGCCUGAUGCACCCAUGCCGCGUGUAUGAAGAAGGUCUUCGGGUUGUAAAGUACUUUCAGUAGGGAGGAAGGUGUGAGCGCUAAUAGCGUUCACAAUUGACGUUACCUACAGAAGAAGCACCGGCUAACUCCGUGCCAGCAGCCGCGGUAUUACGGAGGGUGAAAGCGUUAAUCGGAAUUACUGGGCGUAAAGCGCACGCAGGGCGGUUUGUUAAGUUGGAUGUGAAAUCCCCGGGCUUAACCUGGGAACUGCAUCCAAGACUGGCAAGCUAGAGUCUCGUAGAGGGAGGUAGAAUUCCAGGUGUAGCGGUGAAAUGCGUAGAGAUCUGGAGGAAUACCCGGUGGCGAAGGCGGCCUCCUGGACGAAGACUGACGCUCAGGUGCGAAAGCGUGGGGAGCAAACAGGAUUAGAUACCCUGGUAGUCCACGCUGUAAACGAUGUCGAUUUGGAGGUUGUGCCCUUGAGGCGUGGCUUCCGAAGCUAACGCGUUAAAUCGACCGCCUGGGGAGUACGGCCGCAAGGUUAAAACUCAAAUGAAUUGACGGGGGCCCGCACAAGCGGUGGAGCAUGUGGUUUAAUUCGAUGCAACGCGAAGAACCUUACCUACUCUUGACAUCCAGCGAAUCCUGUAGAGAUACGGGAGUGCCUUCGGGAACGCUGAGACAGGUGCUGCAUGGCUGUCGUCAGCUCGUGUUGUGAAAUGUUGGGUUAAGUCCCGCAACGAGCGCAACCCUUAUCCUUUGUUGCCAGCGGUUAGGCCGGGAACUCAAAGGAGACUGCCAGUGAUAAACUGGAGGAAGGUGGGGAUGACGUCGAAGUCGUCAAUGGC
RNAcentral lists this ribosomal RNA (1093 nucleotides) under Edwardsiella ictaluri. RNAcentral's name for it is "bacterial SSU rRNA". It matches the Rfam family "Bacterial small subunit ribosomal RNA", at positions 115 to 1199 of the family's 1533-position model. Lineage: Bacteria; Pseudomonadati; Pseudomonadota; Gammaproteobacteria; Enterobacterales; Hafniaceae. The record is from RNAcentral.